Molecule: long non-coding RNA, 1268 nt
Organism: Bubalus bubalis (water buffalo)
Lineage: Eukaryota; Metazoa; Chordata; Mammalia; Artiodactyla; Bovidae
Exons: 5
Source: RefSeq, a predicted model, not a curated record
UUUGAGUUAUUAGAUUCCCGUAGCAGCAGUUACUGGCUCUAGGAUUCUGUCUCGGUAAAGCACCUGUCACAACAGCAGGUGUGACACUUUUCUCCGUGUAAUGUUCACUUUGGUCUCCAGAUCUAAAUCCACUAGAUCAGAGGACAGCAUAUAAGAUUUGACCGUUUCCUUCAGUUUCAUUUUCAGUCAGGCUUCUUAAAUGUUUAUUUAAUAUGCAGUACUGAAAGUUUUCAAAGAAAAAUCAGGUAAGUAUGCAAGUGAUGAAAAAUGGAGUGUAAAAACCUUCAGGCCAAUGAUGUGCUCAUAUGACUGUGAGUUUGAAAGUUCUCAUUUAUUUCAGCUACAAUAUAUUCAUGUGGCUUUUAGAACUAUGAUUUAAAAUCUAUUUCAAAUACAUUAUUUCUGAUCACUUAGUAGAUGUUCUCUAAAUGCUGCAGUUGCUCAUAAUGCUUAUAAACUAUUCUAUGUUUAACUUUAUAAUAUUCUUUUUUUGAAAGAGGAUGGAAAGGAGUACAUCUAUCAAGGUCCAAAGCUCACCGGCCUCUCAGAGAUUUCGCUGAGACUUGUUAAACUUUAUGGUGAGAAAUUUGGUACAGAGAAUGUCAAAAUAAUUCAGGAUUUAGACAAGGUAAAUGUCAAAGAGCUUGAUCCCAAAUAUUCUCAUAUCCAAGUCACUUACAUGAAGCCCUACUUUGAUGAUAAAGAACUCACAGAAAGAAAAACUGAAUUUGAAAGAAACCAUAAUAUCAACAGGUUUGUAUUUGAGGCUCCUUAUACAUUGUCAGGCAAAAAGCAAGGCUGUAUAGAGGAACAGUGCAAACGCCGUACAAUCUUGACUACUUCAAACACAUUUCCAUAUGUGAAGAAGAGGAUCACUAUAAACUAUGAACAGCAGAUUCAUUUAAAGACAAUUGAUGUUGCCACUGAUGAAAUAAAAGAUAAAACUGCAGAGCUGCAAAAGCUUUGCUCCUCUGCUGACGUGGACAUGAUUCAGCUCCAACUUAAAUUGCAGGGCUGUGUCAGUACGGGUAAAUGCAGGUCCAUUAGCAUAUACAAAGGCUUUCUUAAAUGACAGUCAAGCUAGCAAGUAUCCAGCCAAAAAUAUAAAUGAGUUGAAAGACAUGUUUAGGAAGUUCAUCCAAGCAUGCAGCAUUGCACUGGAACUAAAUGAGCAGCUGAUUAAAGAGGAUGAGACUGAAUACUAUGAAGGGCUCAAGUCAAAUUUCAGAGACAUGGUGAAAGAAUUGUCUGACAUUAUUCAUGAACAG